This 423-nucleotide ribosomal RNA is filed under the name uncultured bacterium. Its description in RNAcentral is "bacterial SSU rRNA". It matches the Rfam family "Bacterial small subunit ribosomal RNA", at positions 207 to 622 of the family's 1533-position model. The record is from RNAcentral.
AAGACCUUGCGCUUUUGGAGCGGCCGAUGUCUGAUUAGCUUGUUGGUAGGGUAAAAGCUUACCAAGGCUUCGAUCAGUAGCUGGUCUGAGAGGACGGCCAGCCACACUGGGACUGAGACACGGCCCAGACUCCUACGGGAGGCAGCAGUGGGGAAUUUUGGACAAUGGGGGCAACCCUGAUCCAGCCAUGCCGCGUGAGUGAAGAAGGCCUUCGGGUUGUAAAGCUCUUUCAGCCGGAACGAAACGGMUACGGUUAAUACCCGUGACUACUGACGGUACCGGAAGAAGAAGCACCGGCUAACUACGUGCCAGCAGCCGCGGUAAUACGUAGGGUGCAAGCGUUAAUCGGAAUUACUGGGCGUAAAGCGUGCGCAGGUGGUUUUGUAAGUCAGAUGUGAAAUCCCCGGGCUUAACCUGGGAACU